CCCUUAGAUGUUCUGGGCGGCCCGCGCACUACAAUGGCGUGUGCAGCGAGUGCCGAAGUAGAGUUUUCCGAGGUAUUCUUGCAAUGCUCGUUUUGAUGGGGAUAGACCCUUGCAACUGUUGGUUUUGAACGAGGAAUUCCUUGUAAGCAUGGUUUAUCAUCCGACGCUGAAUGCGUCCCUGCCCUUUGUACACACCGCCCGUCGCUCCUACCGAUGAGUCGUCCGGUGAAGUUCGUAUACCUCGUGAUCGCGGAUCACUGGGGGAAGCAAAAUGAACCUCGCGGUUUAGAGGAAGGAGAAGUCGUAACA
RNAcentral lists this ribosomal RNA (309 nucleotides) under uncultured eukaryote. Its description in RNAcentral is "partial 18S ribosomal RNA". It matches the Rfam family "Eukaryotic small subunit ribosomal RNA", at positions 1470 to 1796 of the family's 1831-position model. The record is from RNAcentral.